UUGAACACACAGAGAUCCAAUUGCCUCUGCUUUCCAAGUGUUGGAAUUAAAGAUGUGUGCCACUACUACCCAGCUUAGAAUGGAAAAAAAUUUUAGAUCCCUUUUGGGGCUCUGGUUUGCAGGUACCAAAUGUGUGUGUGUGUGUGUGUGUGUGUGUGUGUGUGUGUGAGAGAGAGAGAGAGAGAGAGAGAGAGAGAGAGAGAGAGAGAGAGAGAGAGAGAGAGAUCUUUAGGUCAUUAAAAAAUAUCUAACUACAAAAUAUUAUCACUAUCAUUUAGUUUGUCCUCAAAUUCUCUAAAUGCACUGAUACAGACUCCAUUUGCAGACAGAGGCUUUUUUGGUUCUGAACCAUGUACCAUGCAUGCACCAUGAUGCAUUAUGCUAUUCACUUCCAUUUCUAAGUAAGCUAUUCAGGAGGAAAGCCCACUGGGAGGUGAUUGGUCGCCAGAACAAACCCUCAAAGUGAGCAGUGAGAACAGGAUGGCUGAAAGAGGACAGGAGCCAAGAGGAAAGGGCCUGUGGCUGAGAGCUAAAAGUAUUCCACGCUCCUUGGAAGGAAGAAGUCUUUGCCCCUCUGUCUCCUACUCCUCCUCUUCUUCUUCUUCAAGAUUCAUCUUUAUUUUUAAUUAUGUGUUUAUGGAGGGGGUGAACACAUGACUUCAGGUGCCUAUGGAAGCAAAAAUGGGGGUCAGACCCUAUAAAGGUGGAGUUAUGGCGUAAGUGCUGGCAAUCAAACUCAGGUCCUCUAGAAGAGCAGCAAUUGUUCUUAACCACUGAGCCAUCCCUCCAGCCCAUACAAAGAGUCCAGUUUACAUGUCUCAUCAAUUCAGCUGAAAGAUGGAUGCCAAUCUGAGCAAAUGAAGCUCUUUUCACAAAAAGAAACACAGGGAGAAAAACCAAUAAUAAUGAGGAAGAGGAGGAUAAUGAUAAUAAUAAUAUAAUUCCGGGCGUGGUGGCGCUCACCUUUAAUCCCAGCACUCAGGAGGCAGAGGCAGGUGGAUCUUGGUGAGUUCGAGGUCAGCCUGGUCUACAAAGUGAGUUUCAGGACAGCCAGGGCUCUGUUACACAGAGAAACCCUGUCUUGAAAAAAAAAAAAGAAAGGAAGGGAGGAAGAAGGUAGGAGAGAGCGAGGGAGGGAGAGUGAAAGAGAGAGACAGAGACAGAGAGACAGAGAGAGACAGACAAGAAAGAGAAAGGAAUGCAGGCUCAGAAAGGCAAGGCAGACCAUGGCUGUGGAGUCCCUGAGAGCCCAGGCUUUGAGAUUCCACAGUCCCUGUCAAGUCUUGAUUCUGUCAGUUAUUAUCUGUGCAUCUAUGGAUGCAUUGCUUAAUCACUCUGAGCUCAGUGGAAACUGUACAGAUAAUAAUUAUAAAGAUAAUAACCAUACCUACUUUAUAACCUGUUGUGAACACAUGUCUAGGGCAUUGUGCCAACAGGAGUAUCGCUCAAUAAAUAGCUUCUAUUGUUGUCAAUAGAGGUUCUUAGAGAAUUGGACCUCAUUCAUGUGUAAGAAUUGUUUCAAUAGGCUUUUUCGUUUUGGAAUGAUUUUAAUCUACAGAAAAAUUACAAAGGUAAUUCGGAGUUCCCAUAUGCCCUUUUAAAAAUGUUAAUGUAGCAUUACCAUGAUUCAUCUGUCAUAACAAAAAGCCAGCCUUGGUACAUUAUUAUUGGCUAAGCUCAUUUUACUCAGGAUACAAUCUUAAAGUAUUCAUUUCAUUUAAAAUAAUUUUUAAAAUUAGCACAACAAUCAACAUCAUUGCUCAAUUAGUGUUCCUGUUGGCAAGAUCCUAACACACCUUUCAGAAACACAUGUAAGUUAUUGAGAAUCACUUACUCUCUUAAGAAGCUUUUUACAAAAAUAUAAGGGACUGGAGAGAUGGCUCCGCAGUUACGAGCACUUGUUGCUCUUAUAGAGGACCCAGGUUCAGUUCCCGGUACCCACACGGGAGUUCACAACCAUCUUUAACUCCAGUUCCAAGGAAUCUUAUAUUCUCCUCUGACUUCCAUGUGCCAUGAAAACAAAAAUUAACUGAAACAAAUGUGUUGAUCUCUUAAUUGGCAGAACAAAUCCUUUUUGCAUAGUUAAUGAAAUAGAUACUGGCCAGAAUCUGCUUGCAUUAUCACAGUAUUAAUUUGUUCGGAUUUGGCCCAGCAAAAUGGCUCAGCAGCUUAAAGCAUUUGCUGCCUCUCAUGUGUAUUAUCCCAACUCCCACAAGCUGUCCUCUAGCUGCUGUACAUGUGCCAUAGCAGGUGCGUGUCUGCACACACAUGUGUACACACACACACACACACACACACACACACACACACACACACACAAAUUCAUAAAUGUAAGUGUGGUAUUUGAUAAAUGUUCUCCCAUGGGCCUAUAUAUCUGAUUACUUGGCCUCCAAUUGUUGGUGCUAUUUGGGAAGGUUAUGGAGCCUUUAAGGUGUGAGCCUAACCGGAGGAAGUGUGUCACCGAUGUUAGGCUUUGAAAUGUAUAAUCUCAUCCCCACUCCUUGGGUCCUGUGCGUUCUCUCUCUCUCUCUCUCUCUCUCUCUCUCUCUCUCUCUCUCUCUCUCUCUCUCUCUCUCUCCUUCUCCCCUUCCUGUUCCAGCCACUAUGCCAUACCCUCCCACCAUGAGGAUUCUGUCCCUCUGGAACAAUUAAGCUUCUCUCCCUUAAGUUGCUUUUGGUCAUGCUAUUUUUAUCACAGCAACAGAAAAAUAACUAUACAGUGACAAAAAACUGGAAGUCAUAAAGUUCGACUUUGCAUAACCUCCUGCAAAGUGACACAGUGUGUGACACAUAGUAGGUAUUCAAAAAGUGUACACUGCUCAGCUGAAUGUGAAAGUGCACUCGUGCCUCCUAAUGGCUUGAACUGCUUACAAGCAGUUGAGUUUCCCACGGAGUGGGCCUUGUUUUGAAUGAUCUCUUCUUGGAGCUUAACUCUGCCUCUGCGCACAGAACCUGUUUGUACAAGACUAGACAGAAUCUGAGCAAAUAAGAUUUACUGUUUGGAGAACCACACAUUUCACUGCUAUCUUUCAUGCACCAAGGCUUAUCCCUUGGAGGGAAAUUGAUUCUGAUGUUGAAAAUAAAUGUUUUCCUUUCAUCUCUAAAGAAAAAGAAAUAUUCACGUGUACAAAUUCAAUUUCUGGGAAGCUGCAGUAGUUGCUGUUUUUAAUAAAAAGUAUUAACCACAGCUGAUGAGAAUCACCAUGGCCAUGGUGGCAAUGAGAAAGAGAUGGUAAAAGGCUCCAGCUUACCAUGAGAUUGCGGGUGUGACCAUGUGGGUCUGCAGCCAUCCUGCUGGGACCUCAGGGCUACGUUAUCACAACACAGAUAUGGCAAGAGUAUGCGUUCCUUCACCCAUGUUGAAUCAGCAUUGCAGCUGAGUAAUUUAGGUGACCAGUCAUUUCUUCUACUUAAAGCACAUAUCAGGCAACAGUCAUAGAUCACUACCACUGAAAGUCCCACCAUGGAUCACAUAUUCACCUGGAAGCUUAUUAGAACCGAAGAAUUUGGAGGCAGAGACUGUAGCUCAGUUGGGAGAAUGUUUGCCUAGAAUGCAUGAAGUCUUGGGCUCAGUCCCCAGCACCACAUAAAAAAAAAACUAGAUGUGCAGAUGUUCACCUAUAAUCCAGCAUUUGGUCAGUGGGAGCAGGAGGAUCAGAAGUUCAAGAUCAUCCUUGGCUGCGUAGCAAACUGGAGUCCAACCUGGGAUCCAUGAGAUUGUCUCAAAAAUGCACAAAAAGUAGGAAACAAAGAAAUCUUUACAGACAGUCUCAAAUCAGUCAGGCCAAGUACUGGGUAGACUGCUGAACCAUGUACAUGAGAUCUAACUGUUCUGCCUCUGCCUCUUCCUCUGUGAACUUGAGAUUAUAAAAAUAAUGACCUGUGUAGCGGUACUUUUUUGUCAGGACCACCAGUUUGCAAAUAAUGAAAUAAAGACUUUUUAUUAAUUAUGAAAUCUUGGCCAUUAGCCUAGGCUUGUUCUCAAUAAGCUCUUAUAACUUAAAUUAACCCAUUUAUAUUGAUCUAUUUUCUGUCACGUGGCUUGGUUAUCUUUACUCUGUACUGUAUGUCUGACCUCUUCAGUGUCUCCCUGGCAUCUCCAUACUGCCCAUCCUGCUUCCUCCAUAUCUGGCUGGCAACCUUACCCUUCUUCUUCCCAGAGUUCUCUCUCUGCCCAGAAGUCCCACCUAUACCUCCUGCCUAGCUAUUGGUCAUUUAGCUUUCUAUUACACCAAUCACACCAAUACAUCUUCGCACAGUAUACAGACACCCCAUGCCUCCAGUGGUCACUGGGAUACUGCAGUGUUUCUGAUGACCACUGCCUGGUUGUAGCCACCAGCUCUCAUAUACUGUUUGCUGGAAACUAAAAACGUGCCUGGUGGCAGAGGAUCCAGAGGAGCAGAGAGCAGCCAGCAUAUGAUAGAAACUGAAAUAAGUCGAUUAAAAGAGAAGAAACAUAAGCAAACACUUGUACAGCACGUAAGGACAUAGAUGUCCCAAAACAAGUACAUUUGAGAACUCUGUCCCCUGGCUAUUCUAGGUCCUGGACGCCACACAAUCCCUGUCUGAAGGUCACUGGAGUCAAAAGACUCUCUAAGGCCAUGAAUUCCUACAGAAAUUUCUGAUUAUGAAGGAAAUGAAGUGUGAAUUUGAACACAGGAGUGCUUUUAAGAACUUGAAAUUAGUUGUGUACUCAAAACUGCUAAAAGAUUUCUAAAUACGCAGAGGAGUCCAGCUAUUCCAGGUAUCAAGCCGGCAAGGCAGCUGUGCCAACAGAAGUCAUGCACAUAUAUCUGAGGGCAAAGGUCAUCUCUUCUGUUUUUGUCUAGUUACCGAUUGGCCAAGACUUCCAAAAUUUCAGGCUCCUUUCGUUAGACUGAGAGCUACUUUAUUUUAUUAUUAUUAGUCUUUUUUUUUUUAACUUUUUUAAUGAACUUUUGACCCCAAUUGUUUUUCCAGUGUUCAGUCAUUUAGUGGAAGGCCAUUAACAACUGGCUAAAAACACACGUGUGCACAUACACUCAUAUAUUGCAUUUCCAAGCCAAUUGAAUUACAGAAGGAACCAAUUUGAAAAGUUAUUGAAUUAAACCCUAGAAGAGAGAGAUGAGUUUUAUUGUUAAUGGUUGGCAUGGCAACUUGCCUUGCUGGAGAGUGAGAUGUGCUGAGUUCUCCUAGUUGGAGACUCUGACAUGCUCAAGGCCAGGGCUCUGCCUCUGCAUCUUGUUGCCAAGGUAAUGCCGCCUAGGCCAGAAUCCACUGAAAGGAAUACCUCUGACAUCUCAUGCCAGCAGGAGCUAUCUGAUUAAAAGAGAGCUUUAAAAAGAAAAAGAAACAGAAUUUUUGCAAAGCCCAGAGGAGAACGCAAAGGCAGGAUACUGAAAAAAUGAUCAGCAGGAAAUCUAAAGGGAAGCAGCCGAUGGGUGCCAAGAAGUAACUAAAUAACAGGGUUGUUUUAUGAGCUAGAGGUCGUGGUGUGUGAAGGCCCUCGGGCAGGAAUUCCAGCCUGCCAGGCCAUUUUGCAUGUGAAAUGAUACUGUCCUAAUUUGCCUCCAUGGCUCAAGUUCAGCAGAAUAAUAUCUCGUGAGCCCUAGCCACGGUCCCACCCCCAUCCAUCCACAGCAGACUUUAAUUUGACAGAUUUUCUUCUCUGAUAAAAUACUAAGGAAAAUGGAUCCUAAGGGACUUCAUAGGUUACAUAUAUUUUAAGACGAAAAGGGAAUCCACAAGAAUUUCAGCCCAGAGGCCACCUAAAUGUCACUGCCUGGGAGCCUCUAGAACGGCCUUUUGGGUGUCUGUCGUAUUUGUGUCUCGGUGAUUUGUGAUCCUGAUUCACAGGAUAAUAAUAUCCUUAGGUUCGUGGUCUAAUGGGGUCCUCAUUUUCCUAGUUUCACGUGCCAGUUUAUCUUGGAUUUGUUCAUGAUGAAACUAUGGUCCUUGAAGGUUCUUUUGCUCUAAGAUUGGAGAAGGACAAGUCCUCAAAUGCAUGAUCAUCUUUCCCUGAGGGAUCUGAUCCAGGGUCCGCAGGAGAAACUCCCCCUUACACUUCCAGGGACUUAAUGGCAAUAAUCAAUAAACAGAGAUUUGUGGACAGAAAGAUAAAGGAUGGAAUCUGAAAAGAAUUCAAAAUCCCAAACCAGCAGUUCCAAUCUAAUGCGCUCAGCAUUCAAUCAAACCAUUAUUUCAUGAACAAAUAAGGAGGGGAAUCCACAAUAUUUAUCUUGGCCUAUACAAGUUAUUUACAGUAUAUAAACUAUGAAGGAAAGGUAUUACCUUUGUAAUUACAGUGGUUCCUUACGAUUAGCAAGGGAUGCCCUCUGGGUACCAAAGUCUGCAGGUGCUCAAGCCUAGUGUAUACAAUUGCAUAAUAUUUGCAUAUAAACUACACACAUCUUCCAUAUACUUUAAAUCAUCUUUGGAUUACCUAUUAUACCUAAUGCAAUAUAAGGAGCUAUAAGACAAUCUAAGUAGCUAAGUAUACUGUACUUUUUCAAGGAAUGACAAGAAAAGAAGUCUAUGUGUGCUGAGUACAGAAAUCAAUUUGGUUGCUUUUUAAACUUUUUUUUUCUGACUAUAACAACAACAUUCCAACUCCUGUCUCUGCAAAUGAUUUGCUAAGUGAAAUUUGGCCAAGUUAUUUAAUGUGUUUGGUCCCUGAUUUUUGGGAGGUUGUUGUUGUUGUUUUGUGGGUGGGUCUUGUUUCAUUUUGAAGUUUCAAUAUGCUGCAUGGGCUGCUAAACCAACUUUUCUGCCUCCGCCUGCUGAGUAGCUGGGACUACAAGUACUCAUCACUAUGCCCAACUGGUUUGAUACAUCUUUUAAACAAAUAAGGCAUGCCCGCUUUCAUCCAAGUGGGGCACUUCUCUUCCUAGAAUGAACCGCCAAAGCAUGGAGGGAACUUCAAACAAAUUCAGAGCCUCUGGCCUCACCCUAAUCUCUACCAAGCCAGUGUGCGCUUUCAAAAGCUGUACAUGUGAUGCUGGUUUGCAGCUUUGUUUGAGUAUCACCAAAGAUUAAGGUAGCUUAUAAAGAUGAUCUGGCUUAUAUAUGUGAGUUGUCAUAGGCUCAUUAAUCAAUCAAAAUGGGGUACAGUUAAGCCCAGCUUAUAUUUUUUUUUUCAGUUUUAUCUUAAACAUGUAAACAGAACAAGGAUAUCUGGAAUGUGGGGAAGCUGGAAUGCAUAAAGUGGUUAUAUUUCCCACUACCACGUCAAGCCUUCAGUGAGCCUAAACUUUGAAUGAAAAGCUCUUUGAAGUGACUGUCUUUGUUCAUGGUUUGCGAUAUUCCCUUCAGCCUUCAUUGAUCCAGACAGAAUGAUAAUGAUAUUUACCUAAUGCUCACUGGUGCUUACUGUAAGUGCUCUGGAAGCUUAGCUCAUUUGAUCUUACUUCCUCGAAUACAAGCCUGCAGAGAGAUGAUGGGAUUGGAGGUGAACUUUGAACCUAAGAGACCCAGUCUUAAUGCCACUCAAGACUGUUUGGUGGGUCAGAUGUUUCCAGUGAAUAGCCUGACAUUUUCUUGUCCUUAGGUGGCUUCUUCUAUCUGUGAUGUGUAUGCACACACUCAGGGGCCAGAGUUGAUACCAAGAGUCUUCCUCAAUAAUUUUUCCAUCUUAUUUUCUGAGACAGGAUCCGUCACUAAACCUGGGCCUCACUCUUGUAUCUAGAAUGGCUGGCCAGCAAGUCUGCAGGAUCCUGUCUCCACCUUCCCACAUUAGGAUUCCAUUGCUGCACCUGGUGUUUGUUUGUCUUUCUUUUUCUUCCUUUCUUUCUUUUCUUUCUUUCUUUACUAAGACAGUGUCUCACUGUGUAGCUCUGCCUGGCCUGGAACUUGCUAUGUGGACUAGGUUGGUCUGGAACUCACAGAAAUCCUAGUACCAUGCACCACUGCACCUAGUUUUUUGGUGUUUGUUUUUUUUUAUUGUUUUCUUCUAUUUUUGAGACUAUAAUUACAUCAUUUCCCUCUUCCUUUUCCUCCCUUCAGUCCAAACCCUUACGUAUAUCCCUUCUUGACCUCUUUCAAACUCAUGUCCUCUUUUUUCAUUAAUUGUUGUUAUGUACGCAUGCAUGAAUGUGCAUGCGUGUGUGUGUGUGUGUGUGUGUGUGUGUGUGUGUGUGUGUGUGUGUGUGUGGUGUGUGUUCUUACAUAUUCCUAACUAUAUGCAUACAACCUGCUCUGACUGCCUAAACAUGAACUGAACAAGGACAAUACUAAUAGACAUGCUGGCAUGGAUGGGGACAGCUCAUGAGGUCUCAGCUACAAAGAACUAAGGAAGGCUGAGAGUGGGAGAAACAGUCUUCCCCAGGGAAGAGCACACCAGUUGGUUACCCAAUACCAAAUGGUCAGCCCAAAAAAAUAUAUACACACACCUGGCUUUUUACACGGCUCCUAGGGCUCUGAAUUCGUCUUUACGUUUGUAUGGCAAACACUUCACUAAGUCUUUCCCUAGUCCAGAUCAUUACUUCUCAAAGUGUGUACCUGAGGUGCAGGGUUCAAAGACCACUCCCAGUCCACUCCUAUCGGAAUCUCAUGGUGCAAGUGGGCACUGGGGACAGACAUUUAGAAAUACACUCCUCGGGUGACUCUUGAGUCCCAGAAGUUUAAGAACCACUGGCCCGGAUCAUUGUUUGUAGGUCACUAACAUUAGGAACAUUGAAGAAUAUAUUAAGGGCUGUGGGAACCAAAAUCGUUUGCCAGGAUCCAUCCUCAGAUUCUGCCUGGGGCAGAGAAUCAGUCCAGAAGUUCCUAGAUGGGCUGUACAAAGUACCGGCUCUACCCAGGAGGUCUACUGUCUUGUACAAAGACAGCGUGGUUUUUCAGGGUCCAGACCCCAUUGCCAGACUCAAGGACAGUACUCUUGAUUAAAAGAGGAAGGGCUAGUACUGGCUUGGAACUUUGAUGUUGUCCUUUUCACUAUCCAAAUACCACAGAGACUCUGUGUCCCAGUCCCAGAAGGGCAGAGGCGGAGCAGGCCUUUUGGAAUGCAGUCUGCCACCCCCCCUUCCCCUGGGGCCUUGUAUUGAGCUGAUCUUGCAAACUCUCUGAGAGUUCACCGGGUGUCUGUUUCAAAUGGGAGAUUAAAAGGAGGCCAAGAAGGUGCUGGGAAUCAAGCCCAUGACCUCGAAAAAGCAGCCAAUGGGUCAGAUGCUGGACAUCAACUUCUUAGAAAAGACAAUCACUCCUGAAAUUCAAACUAAUACCCACUGAAAGAGGAAGGAACCCGGGCCAACCCGGGUCAACGUGAUCCUUUGACGGGAAAAGGCGUUUGUGGCCAAGCCUGAAGACCCAAGUUCAAUCCUCAGGACCCACAAGAUAGAAGGAGAGAACCAGCUCCUGCAAGUUGUCCUCUGGCCUCCACAGUUUGUUGGAAUGCUGUGAAAGCCUCGAUGAGUUCUCACUCUUACCCUUGGUCUCAUUGGCCACUCCUGGAUAUGAGAAAACAGUUUGGCAUCAAGCCUUCCCGGAACGUCUUCAAAAAGAAUUACUGGGCGAUGUUUUGGAAAGACUGAUAAACGACGCCAUGCUGGUGGGUCAGCACCUUGGCUGACUGUGUGGCUCAGGCUCUUCGAAGGAGUCACAAGGAUCCUAACAGAGAAAGGCUAAGCAGGCCGGAGAGCUUAGGGUUACUAGCUCUUGGCUUCUGAGUGUCUGUUCAAAGCAAAUAACAAAAAGAAAAGAAAAUGUUCUGGAUAUGUUUAAAAUUUUUUUGAAAAAUCAAUGACUCAUUUGUUACAGAGUAACAAAGUACGAAAUAAAAGACACUUCAUAAAAAUUGCAUUCAAACACUGUGGUGGAACUCUGAGUGAACUUUGUGCUGAGGGUACGUGAUUUUGGAGCAAGACCUGGUAGGGUUAGGGGUCCCGUCUCUGGAAAAGCAUUUGAUCUAUGGCAUGCAAGAAUGUCUCUGCAAGCCCUGCCACUAACAGAAUGAAUUGCUCACUUGAGAGACGACUUUUUCUCUGUCAAAUGGAUCCAAUCUAAAAUAUGACUAAUUGUUUUAAGCAGAAAAUUAUCUCUGGCUGUUAUAUGCAAAUUAUGCAAUACCACAGCCUGAAAAUUAGGAG
Peromyscus californicus insignis is the source of this 10061-nucleotide long non-coding RNA. RefSeq lists it as uncharacterized. The record is from RefSeq and is a predicted model, not a curated record. The transcript is spliced from 5 exons. NCBI's taxonomy places the organism in Eukaryota, Metazoa, Chordata, Mammalia, Rodentia, Cricetidae.